GCUCGGAGGCCGCACCGGGCACGUUUGUGGAAGAAUUCACUACUGAAUUGAAGUCCUUGAUCAAGUAAUUGAAGUUCAGGCAUAAAGUAUCAAAGCGGGCGAGCAGUCUCCCGCUCGGGCCCUCUCUCGCCCUCUCUUCCGCGCGCCAGCUCUCGCAGAGGUGGCGGGGUCCGCGGGCCGCAGGCCGGGCCCGGGCUUUGAUUGCAGCGGGAAGUCCUCCGAGUCAUGAAUGUUUCAGCGCGGCGCGCGAGGGCCGGUGCAUAAACUUCUCCCGAGUUCCAUCUCAGUAAAAGGGAAGCAGGAAGACCAAGAAGGUACGAAGAUGGCACAUUUUCACAUAGCUGAUUUUCAACCAAAUGAAAAAAAUCAAGUGCAUUUCAGAAGCUUUUGGAAGAGCAUCUUAAUUCCUCUCAGUCAGGAAAUGUUUUCCCUGCCUUCUGCUUUGCUUGCGCCAAACAUUUCCAAACACUUGUUCUGCCAUCUACAUGGGAGGUGAUGAAACUCAGUGGUAACUCAUGAUUUAUGACAUUGAAAAUAAAGAGGAACAUU
This 549-nucleotide small RNA is filed under the name Pongo abelii (Sumatran orangutan). RNAcentral's name for it is "processed transcript". Lineage: Eukaryota; Metazoa; Chordata; Mammalia; Primates; Hominidae. The record is from RNAcentral.